Molecule: ribosomal RNA, 807 nt
Filed under: Tetraselmis marina
Lineage: Eukaryota; Viridiplantae; Chlorophyta; Chlorodendrophyceae; Chlorodendrales; Chlorodendraceae
Description: partial large subunit ribosomal RNA
Rfam family: Eukaryotic large subunit ribosomal RNA
Source: RNAcentral
AAGCAUAUCAAUAAGCGGAGGAAAAGAAACUAACUAGGAUUCCCUUAGUAACGGCGAGUGAAACGGGAUAAGCCCAACUUGAAAAUCUACAGGCUUUGUCUGUCGAAUUGUAGUCUAUAGAAGCAACCUCUGAGGCGGACCUGGAUUAAGUUCCCUGGAAGGGGACGUCAGAGAGGGUGAGAACCCCGUCAUCCUUGGUCUUAGCCUCUUCACGAGAUGCUUUCGCAGAGUCGGGUUGGUUGAGAAUCCAGCCCUAAUUGGGAGGUACAUCCCUUCUAAGGCUAAAUACCGGUAGGAGACCGAUAGCGAACAAGUACCGCGAGGGAAAGAUGAAAAGGCCUUUGAAAAGAGAGUUAAAAAGUGCUUGAAAUUGUUGAGGGGGAAGUGUAUUAGAGGCGUGGGUGCUUCUAGGCUGUAUGUAGGCUCUAACCGGCCUGCCCCUCAGUGCUAGAAGCUGGUCAGCAUGGUUUAGCUUAGCGGGAUAAAAGCAGAGGUUGUUACUUUGCCUAUGCCGCUUCGCUGAUCGAGGUCUAAGAGCGCUUUGCCCUUCGGGAGCUGCGUUCUCAUGAUGCUGGCGGAAGCCCCUAAUACAGCCCGUCUUGAAACACGGACCAAGGAGUCUAACAUGUAUGCGAGUUGGUGGGUGGAAAACCCAUGAAGCGUAAGGAAACUAACUGGUGGGAUGGCCUGUGCCUGCACCAUCGACCGACCAUGAUCUUCUGUGAAAGGUUUGAGUACGAGCAUACCUGUUGGGACCCGAAAGAUGGUGAACUAUGCCUGAGCAGGGCGAAGCCAGAGGAAACUCUG